Long non-coding RNA from Hypomesus transpacificus, 810 nucleotides. RefSeq lists it as uncharacterized. The record is from RefSeq and is a predicted model, not a curated record. NCBI's taxonomy places the organism in Eukaryota, Metazoa, Chordata, Actinopteri, Osmeriformes, Osmeridae. The transcript has 7 exons.
CUUGCACAGCCUGCACGGCGUUCUUUGACCUGAAGUCAGCGACGUGAACGAUCACACAGGUGGAAGUGAAAGUAUUUUCACCAGACUUGUGACGUUGGCGUACACGAUCAAAGAUUAUGGUGAACCCCAGCGCUAAACCACGUGAGGCACCAAGUAUGAAGCCGGCCUUUGAUCCAGACUGAAGUACUCCAUGGAAUAACAAAUGAACAGAUUAUGAUGUGAUCAACGGAGGCAUCCCCACAUGUGGCAGGUGUUCUCCGUCACAUCAAUGACCAUUGUUGGAAUCUGAAGUCGGCCAUAUUCUCUGAAGACCUGCUGAGCGGGUGUAAGGUGUCCCGAAACUAACUAAGAUUGGGCCACUAAGAUUUGGAGGACUUCGAAUCUGCUCUGGACUCUGGGUCAGGGUUGAGGAUGUUAAACUCGAAAGGAUUUUGAGUUUGUAAUUCCUACUAGAUAUUCGUGGUGAGAUUAUGCAUUGGGAAAUGCUAAAUUAGAUCAUCCUCUUUUAUAUGAACGGGGCAUUUGCAUGAUACAGGCUCAAAUUAUGCAAUGUAUCCAUACAGUAUAUUGUUUUCUAUCCAUUUUGUUUGUUGCAGUGCACUUCAUUUAUAGAUACAGAAAUAAAAUGGACACUUGUGUUACAGCCUCUUUUUAUAUGAGAUGAUUCAUAUUAACCUGAUGUAUGCAAAUGUUAAAAUUAAUAAUUUAAGUGAAUUAAAUUUGGUGCAAAUGUGUGCUAUGCUUCAAUAGUGUCACUUACGUAAGGUCAAUUUAUGUUUUGCAAAGGUAAAUAAACUAAUGUGUAUAAAU